CAAUACGAGAGUGGCAGACGGGUGAGUAACACGUGGGAACCUUCCCUUUGGUUCGGAAUAGCUCAGGGAAACUUGAGGUAAUACCGGAUAAGCCCUUACGGGGAAAGAUUUAUCGCCAUAGGAUGGGCCCGCGUCGGAUUAGCUAGUUGGUGAGGUAACGGCUCACCAAGGCGACGAUCCGUAGCUGGUCUGAGAGGAUGAUCAGCCACACUGGGACUGAGACACGGCCCAG
This 232-nucleotide ribosomal RNA is filed under the name uncultured bacterium. RNAcentral's name for it is "partial 16S ribosomal RNA". It matches the Rfam family "Bacterial small subunit ribosomal RNA", at positions 85 to 334 of the family's 1533-position model. The record is from RNAcentral.